This 66-nucleotide transfer RNA is filed under the name Eospalax fontanierii cansus. Its description in RNAcentral is "tRNA-Pro". The record is from RNAcentral. Lineage: Eukaryota; Metazoa; Chordata; Mammalia; Rodentia; Spalacidae.
AUCAAGGAAGAAAAUAAACUCCACCACCAGCACCCAAAGCUGACAUUCUAAUUAAACUAUUCCUUG